ACAUUGCUUAGUUGGUAGAGCACAAGGAUCUUAACUUUAUGGACGUGGGUUAGAGCCCCAUGGUGGG
Molecule: transfer RNA, 67 nt
Filed under: Triticum aestivum (bread wheat)
Lineage: Eukaryota; Viridiplantae; Streptophyta; Magnoliopsida; Poales; Poaceae
Description: tRNA_PseudoCTT
Rfam family: tRNA (bases 6-61)
About the family: Transfer RNA (tRNA) molecules are approximately 80 nucleotides in length. Their secondary structure includes four short double-helical elements and three loops (D, anti-codon, and T loops).
Source: RNAcentral